Gymnothorax javanicus (giant moray) is the source of this 74-nucleotide non-coding RNA. NCBI's taxonomy places the organism in Eukaryota, Metazoa, Chordata, Actinopteri, Anguilliformes, Muraenidae. The record is from the annotation of a GenBank genome assembly.
AGCAGGGUAGCCUAGUGGUAGGUUGUUUGACUGGCGACCAAAGAGUUGCUGGGUUCAAGCCCCCAGUGGAGCUU